RNAcentral lists this long non-coding RNA (1590 nucleotides) under Triticum aestivum (bread wheat). Its description in RNAcentral is "long non-coding RNA (TAES_LNC007493)". Lineage: Eukaryota; Viridiplantae; Streptophyta; Magnoliopsida; Poales; Poaceae. The record is from RNAcentral.
UACGUGCACGAGGAACCUGUUGAGUACGCUUACGAGGAUCCAGCCUUCGACAACUCAGAGAACCUUGCAGGCAAGAUGAUCAUACCUUCGAAAUCAUUACUAUCUUUGCUUGCUAGUACUCGCUCUUUCGCUAUGUUAGCCCUACCUGCCAUUGUUUACCAUGCCUACCUAUUGCCAUGUUAAACCUCUAACCAUCCUGUCCUAGCAAACCCUUUGUCUGGCUAUGUCACCGCUUUUGCUCAGCCCCUCUUAUAGCAUUGUUAGUUGCAGGUGAAGAUGAAGUUUGUUCCAGGUCGGAACGUGAUUAUUCUGGGAUAUCACAAUAUCUCCUGUUUAUAUUAAUGCACCUUAUAUACUUGGUAAAGGGUGGAAGGCUCGGCCUUAUGCCUGGUGACUUGUUCCACUCUUGCCGCCCUAGUUUCCGUGAUACCGGUGUUAUGUUCCUUGAUUUUGCGUUCCUUACACGGUUGGGUGAUUUACGGGACCCCCUUAACAGUUCGCUUUGAAUAAAACUCCUCCAGCAAGGCCCAAACUUGAUUUUACCAUUUGCCACCUAAGCCCUUUUCCCUUGGGUUUUCGCGAGCCCAAGGGCCAUCUUUAUUUUAACCCCCCCCCCCCCGGGGCCAGUGCUCCUUCGAGUGUUGGUCCAAACUGAGUAGACUGCGGGGCCACCUCGGGGAAACUUGAGGGUUGGUUUUACUUGUAGGAUGUCUCAUUCGGUGUUGCCCUGAGAACGAGAUAUGUGCAGCUCCUAUCGGGAUUUGUCGGCACAUCGGGCGGCUUUGCUGGUCUUGUUUUACCAUUGUCGAAAUGUUUUGCGAACCGGGAUUCCGAGACUGAUCGGGUCUUCCCGGGAGAAGGUCUAUUCCUUCGUUGACCGUGAGAGCUUGUGAUGGGCUGAGUUGGGACACCCCUGCAGGGUAUAUAAUCUUUCGAAAGCCGUGCCCGCAGUUAUGAGGCAGAUGGGAAUUUGUUAAUGUCCGGUUGUAGAUAACUUGACACUUGACCUCUUUAAAAUGCAUCAACCGAGUGUGUAGCCGUGAUGGUCUCUUCUCGGCGGAGUCCGGGAAGUGAACACGGUUUGUGUUAUGCUUAACGUAAGUAGUUUCAGGAUCACUUCUUGAUCGCUUCUAGCUUCUCGACCGAUGCGUUGCUUCUCUUCUCGCUCUCAUUCGCGUAUGUUAGCCACCAUAUAUGCUUAGUGCUUGCCGCAGCUCCACCAUAUUACACCUUUCCUUCCUAUGAGCUUAAAUAGUCUUGAUCUCGCGGGUGUGAGAUUGCUGAGUCCUCGUGACUCACAGAUUCUACCAAAACAAAUGCAGGUGCCGAGGAUACUGGCGCAGAUGGCGCAACUGAGCUGAAGUGGGAAUUCGAUGAGGCCCUUGGUCGUUACUAUGUAUCGUUUCCAGAUGAUCAAUAGUGGGGCCCAGUCGGGACGAUCGGGGAUCUAACAUUUGGGGUUGUCUUCUUUUCAUUUGAACUUGGCCGUAGCCGGUCUAUGAGUGUAUUUGAAUGAUGUAUGAUCUUAAUUUAUGUAUUGUGUGAAGUGGCGAUUGUAAGCCAACCCUCUUUAUCCCAUUCUUGUUCAUU